This is an RNA transcript of Heterocephalus glaber (naked mole-rat), 1054 nucleotides long. It is a transcript of the gene named L-lactate dehydrogenase A chain, with no coding region annotated. Lineage: Eukaryota; Metazoa; Chordata; Mammalia; Rodentia; Bathyergidae. The record is from RefSeq and is a predicted model, not a curated record.
CCGACGCCCGCCCAACGUGCACUCCCGGUUCCUUUUGGUUCGAAGUCCAAGAUGGCCAGCCUCAAGGAUCAGCUGAUCAUGAAUCUCCUUAAGGAAGAGCAGGUCCCCCAGAAUAAGAUUACAGUUGUCGGGGUUGGUGCUGUGGGCAUGGCCUGCACCAUCAGUAUCUUAAUGAAGGACUUGGCAGAUGAACUUCCUCUUGUUGAUGUCAUAGAAGACAAAUUGAAAGGAGAGAUGAUGGAUCUCCAACAUGGCAGCCUUUUCCUUAGAACACCAAAGAUUGUCUCUAGCAAAGACUAUAAUAUAACUGCAAACUCUAAACUGGUUAUUAUCACAGCUGGGGCACAUCAGCAAGAGGGAGAAAGCCGUCUUAAUUUGGUACAGCGUAAUGUGAACAUCUUUAAGUUCAUCAUUCCUAAUAUUGUAAAGUACAGCCCAAACUACAAGUUGCUUAUUGUUUCCAUUCCAGUGGAUAUCUUGACCUAUGUGGCUUGGAAGAUAAGUGGCUUUCCCAAAAACCGUGUGAUUGGCAGUGGCUGCAAUGUGGAUUCAGCCCGGUUCCAGUACCUGAUGGGGGAAAGGCUGGGGUUUCACCCCCUGAGCUGCCAUGGAUGGGUCCUCGGGGAGCAUGGAGACUCCAGUGUGCCUGUGUGGAGUGGAGUAAAUGUUGCUGGCAUCUCCCUGAAGAAUCUGCACCCCGAGUUAGGAACUGAUGGGGAUAAAGAGCAUUGGAAAGAGGUUCACAAACAGGUGAUUGACAGUGCUUAUGAAGUGAUCAAACUCAAAGGCUACACAUCCUGGGCCAUCAGACUGUCUGUGGCAGAUUUGGGAGAAAGUAUAAUGAAGAAUCUCAGGAGAGUGCAUCCAAUUUCUACCAUGAUUAAGGGUCUCUAUGGAAUAAAGGAUGAAGUCUUCCUUAGUGUUCCUUGUAUCUUGGGACAAAAUGGGAUCUCAGAUGUUGUGAAGGUGACCCUGACUCCUGAGGAAGAGGUCUGUCUGAAGAAGAGUCCAGAUACGCUGUGGGCAAUCCAGAAAGAGCUGCAGUUUUAAAGUC